RNAcentral lists this ribosomal RNA (492 nucleotides) under uncultured bacterium. RNAcentral describes it as "partial 16S ribosomal RNA". It matches the Rfam family "Bacterial small subunit ribosomal RNA", at positions 29 to 507 of the family's 1533-position model. The record is from RNAcentral.
AGUGAACGCUGGCGGUAGGCCUAACACAUGCAAGUCGAACGGCAGCACAGUAAGAGCUUGCUCUUACGGGUGGCGAGUGGCGGACGGGUGAGGAAUACAUCGGAAUCUACUUUUUCGUGGGGGAUAACGUAGGGAAACUUACGCUAAUACCGCAUACGACCUACGGGUGAAAGCAGGGGAUCUUCGGACCUUGCGCGAUUGAAUGAGCCGAUGUCGGAUUAGCUAGUUGGCGGGGUAAAGGCCCACCAAGGCGACGAUCCGUAGCUGGUCUGAGAGGAUGAUCAGCGACACUGGAGCUGAGACACGGUCCAGACUCCUACGGGACGCAGCAGUGGGGAAUAUUGGACAAUGGGCGCAAGCCUGAUCCAGCCAUACCGCGUGGGUGAAGAAGGCCUUCGGGUUGUAAAGCCCUUUUGUUGGGAAAGAAAGGCAGCAGGUUAAUACCCCGCUGUUCUGACGGUACCCAAAGAAUAAGCACCGGCUAACUUCGUG